UUUGUGCACAACUAGUUUUUAAUUGAUUUUGUUCUAAAUAUUUUAUAUGAUUAAAUGAAGUUAUUUUCCUUAUGUAUUAUGUUUAUCAAGUAUUGAAUUUAUUUCACUGAUUAUUGAAAUUGGUAUCGUAUGCAUGAGUUUAGUUUUGUGAAAUGGUAUUUCCACAAGUAUUAAGCAUUGUUAUGGAUUGAAUAAAUUAUGUUUUGGAAAAUUGUGAUAGAACAUGUUUUGAAUUGUGAUGGGCAAUUUGCAUUGAAAAAUGCAAAUUUAUGAUUUGAAUUGUGAUGAGUAUAAAAAUUAUUGGAUAUUGAAAUUGACUUUGAAUCGAAUUGUAUUGUGAUUUAUGCUCACUAAAAGGAUUGUGAUAUUGUUUUAUAUCUCACUAUAGAUGCUUGACUAGGUUAUUACCCGUCUCUCUCAUUUGUUGAGAAGACAAUGGAGUUAGUUGUGUUUUGAUUACCAUGGUACGUGCACAGGCUUAGAUUUUCCUCUGAUUUGAGGUUAGAUCUAAGUUUAUUUUAUCGUUAUGGCCCUUGCGGAAGAUUCAUUAUUGUGAUGGUACUGUGCACGAUGAUUCGACCUCCCCGACCAUAGGGAGUUAGAAUCACAUCGAAU
Molecule: unclassified non-coding RNA, 615 nt
Filed under: Hevea brasiliensis (rubber tree)
Lineage: Eukaryota; Viridiplantae; Streptophyta; Magnoliopsida; Malpighiales; Euphorbiaceae
Source: RNAcentral